Pseudophryne corroboree (corroboree frog) is the source of this 137-nucleotide non-coding RNA. RefSeq annotates it as small Cajal body-specific RNA 3. The transcript has a single exon. NCBI's taxonomy places the organism in Eukaryota, Metazoa, Chordata, Amphibia, Anura, Myobatrachidae. The record is from RefSeq and is a predicted model, not a curated record.
UCUGGAAGCUGGAUUACUCCUUGCGUGCAGUUGUUGUGUUCUGUCCGCAGUGUCAGCCUUCCUAUAGUAAUGUACUGGAGAUCUCUGUCUGGCUCUGUACAGUGUAAACUGAGCCUGAUCGUUCCUCUCCUCACACU